This 2400-nucleotide unclassified non-coding RNA is filed under the name Hevea brasiliensis (rubber tree). The record is from RNAcentral. Lineage: Eukaryota; Viridiplantae; Streptophyta; Magnoliopsida; Malpighiales; Euphorbiaceae.
GAAGGGGAAGAGAAACCAAGAAUGGAUCGGAGAGUCCUUCACUCUGAAGAAUCCGAUGGCCAGGGUGGGGCAGCAGAAUAUGAUGACGAUGGAGAGGAAGUAGAAGGGGAAGAUGAUGAAGAAGAGGUCUAUGAAGAUGAAGAAGAGGAAGAAGCUUAUGAGGACGAGGAAGAGGAAGAUGAAAUUGAUGGGUUUGAGGAAGGGAAAGAAGGAAAUGAGAGGAGAGGAGGAGGUGAUGGUGGAGUGGAGGGUAAGGAAAAGGAAGUAGAGGGAAGGAAGGUGGAGGAGGGGUUAGAGAUAAAAGCUGUGGAGAAUCAUGUGGAGGAAGAGGAGGAGGACGAAGAGGGGAAAAAGGAGAAUGAACCGUUUGCAGUACCCACUGCUGGGGCUUUUUACAUGCAUGACGAUCGGUUUAGGGACAAUGCUGGUGGUCGACACAGGCGAACAUAUGGUGGAAGGAAGUUGUGGGAGUCCAAAGAUGACAAGAAAUGGGGGCACGACAAGUUUGAGGAGAUGAAUUUGCCGGAAAGGCGUUAUGAACAGGGAAGGAGGGGUUCUAAAGGUAAUUUUCGAGGUCGUGGUGGGAAAAUUCGAGCUCCAGACCGUGUAUUUGCACGAAGGAACAAAUCAAAGACAUUCAGCAAUGGGAACAAUCAGAACCAGGCACCUAUAGGUGUGAGGGGGAGGGGGCCAAGAAAGUAUGAACCUACAUGGAAGACCAGCAGCCAGGCACCUCCAGCACAAAACAAACAGCCUGAGAAGUCAUUUGAUAGAACUUCACAUGGUAACUCCAGUAGAGUUUUUACACCAACACCAAAUAAAGAAUCUGGUCAAGUGCCUCCUGCUAGAAAACAUUCAAGCUUGAGUUCUGCUUCUCCUCCUUUUUAUCCUUCUGGAUCUUCAAAUAAAGAUAUCCCUUUGACUCAGAAAAGGGAAGUACAAGCUGGAAGUUCAAGCAGGAAUAUUCGUAUUGAUGAAAGUUUUUCGAUGCAGCAAACCAGUGCAUUGAUUCAGGGGAAGAAUAUAGCUGAUUCUGUUGGAAUCGACAAACUUUAUGUUGAUGAUUCUGUUCCUUCAACAGCUGGUAAGUCCUUGAACACUAUUCAAAUGUCACCUGGAUCUUCAUUGGUCAAUAGCAUGCAAUCCUCUCAAUCCAGAAAUCAAGGAAGGGGUGUAACUAUUUCAAGUCAGAUGACUUAUCAGUCAGCCCCUGUGCAAAAUCAAGUCAACAGAGUCUCAUCUCCAACACAGCCCCAUUCUGUUCAGCGGAGUACUGUCCAAAAUCGUGCCCAACCUUCUGUUCAAGCUCCUGGUCAGCAGUUGGGACAGCGUCCUGGUAGUGGAUCUCAAGCUUCUUCACCACCAAAAACAGCUUUGUCAAUAAAUUCUUAUGAUUCUGGAGAAUCAGAAACUAAUUCAGAAACAAGUAAAUCUAGAAGUGCAUUGGUUGGAAAGGGAAAGGGAAGCAUUCAAGGGAGUGGAAGAGGCUCUUUUAUGUAUGGUGGGGCGCAGGUUAUGGGAGCCUCAGGGAAUAUGGGUGUUGGUCAUGGUGAUCAGAACUUCCCUGCAACUCCAGCCUUCUUGCCAGUUAUGCAAUUUGGGGGCCAGCAUCCUGGUGGUAUUGGAGUUCCUGCUGUUGGCAUGGCGUUUCCUGGAUAUGUUGCUCAACCUCAACUUGGUUUAGGAAAUUCUGAAAUGACAUGGCUACCAGUUUUGGCUGGUGCUGCGGGUGCUUUAGGGGCUACUUAUUGUUCACCUUAUAUUGCUGUUGAUGGGGCUUAUCAUGCUCGCCCAUCUGGACAGACAUCUUCUGUGGGUUCUUCGAGCAAAGAUAACAACAAUACUAACAAGUCCAAUAAUGAAUGGAAACUUACUUCUCAGACACCUGGUUAGAUAGUGUCUUUCUUUUUAUGCUUUUGUACUUCAAUCUUGUUGACUUAGUUCACAACAUGUUUAUUAUAUUCUUAUAGGGAAACUAAUUUGUCUUCUCCUGCAGAACUUGUGAAUGAUGAGUUUGGGCAAAGACAAAAGCCUCGCAGAUACUCAGAGAUGGAUUUUAAGCAGCCAAGUCCAAGUACUUAGAUAAGAAGGACCAUAUUUGAAUAAGCAGAUAAAGGCCCUUGAUCAGGCCCUUUUUGUUCUCCAGCUUUUGUUCUGGAGUGCUUUGGGCCGCAUUAUGUUCCUGGAUAUUUUAGUUAUACGUAACAAACACCUGCUCAUGCUGCAGUCAAUUUGAGAACAUAAUUGUGGCUUGACAGGUGGUAGUUUCUUGUUUAAAUGUGAGGUAUGAACAUCAGAGAAAGAUCCCUUUGAUGUGUUGGUUUCUGAAGGAAAGUUGGACAAACUGAUAUUCUGCCAAUGUUUUUGUUAUUUUCAGGUUUUCUUGUGCUUUGGUUUUUC